GAUGAACGCUAGCGGGAGGCCUAAUACAUGCAAGUCGAGCGGUAGAGUGACUUCGGUUGCUUGAGAGCGGCGCACGAGUGAGUAACGCGUACAUGACCUACCUUUAAGACUGGGAUAGCCCUGGGAAACUGGGAUUAAUACCGGAUGUGAUAAUACGUAUAGAGAUGUAUUAUUAAAGUUGAGGCGCUUAGAGAUGGAUGUGCGUCUGAUUAGCUAGUUGGUAGGGUAACGGCCUACCAAGGCUACGAUCAGUAGGGGCGUGAGAGCGUGGCCCCCCACACGGGUACUGAGACACGGGCCCGACUCCUACGGGAGGCAGCAGUAAGGAAUAUUGGUCAAUGGACGAAAGUCUGAACCAGCCAUGCCGCGUGGAGGAUGAAGGUCCUCUGGAUUGUAAACUUCUUUUAUAUGGGACGAAAAAGGGUUUUCUAACUCGUCUGACGGUACCAUAUGAAUAAGCACCGGCUAACUCCGUGCCAGCAGCCCGGUAAACUACUCGUA
RNAcentral lists this ribosomal RNA (501 nucleotides) under uncultured bacterium. RNAcentral describes it as "bacterial SSU rRNA". It matches the Rfam family "Bacterial small subunit ribosomal RNA", at positions 28 to 529 of the family's 1533-position model. The record is from RNAcentral.